UGUUGAAAGGAAACGAUGGUAGCUUGACAUACCCACUGCGUCUAGCGUGCUGGUACAGGUGGUGAUGUAAUACUUAUGCGAAGNCUACCUAGUAGUGGGGGAUAGCACUGGGGAAACUCGUAUUAAUACCGCAUUACGACCUACGGGAGAAAGGGGGCAGUUUACUGCUCUCGCUAUUAGAUGAGCCUCAAGUCGAGAAUUAGCUAGAGUGGCUGGGGUAAAGGCCUACCAUGGCGACGAUCUGUAGCUGGUCUGAGAGGAUGAUCAGCCACACCGGGACUGAGACAGCGGCCCGGACUCCUACGGGAGGCAUGCAGUGGGGAAUAUUGGACAAUGGGGGAAACCCUGAUCCAGCCAUGCCGCGUGUGUGAAGAAGGACUUUUGGUUGUAAAGCACUUUAAGCAGUGAAGAAGACUCCGUGGUUAAUACCCACGGACGAUGACAUUAGCUGCAGAAUAAGCACCGGCUAACUCUGUGCCAGCAGCCGCGGUAAUACAGAGGGUGCAAGCGUUAAUCGGAAUUACUGGGCGUAAAGCGAGCGUAGGUGGCUUGAUAAGUCAGAUGUGAAAUCCCCGGGCCUUAACCUGGGGAACUGCAUUCUGAAACUGUUAGGCUAGGAGUAGGUGAGAGGGAAGUAGAAUUUCGGUGUAGCGGUGAAAUGCGUAGAGAUCUGAGGAAUACGGUGGCGAAGGCAGUUCCUGGCUUCUUCUGACCUGAGGCUCNAAG
This 726-nucleotide ribosomal RNA is filed under the name Psychrobacter sp. UST050418-410. RNAcentral describes it as "bacterial SSU rRNA". It matches the Rfam family "Bacterial small subunit ribosomal RNA", at positions 49 to 758 of the family's 1533-position model. The record is from RNAcentral. Lineage: Bacteria; Pseudomonadati; Pseudomonadota; Gammaproteobacteria; Moraxellales; Moraxellaceae.